Molecule: ribosomal RNA, 497 nt
Filed under: uncultured bacterium
Lineage: Bacteria
Description: partial 16S ribosomal RNA
Rfam family: Bacterial small subunit ribosomal RNA
Source: RNAcentral
GAUGAACGCUGGCGGCGUGCCUAAUACAUGCAAGUCGAGCGAACGGACGAGAAGCUUGCUUUUCUGAUGUUAGCGGCGGACGGGUGAGUAACACGUGGAUAACCUACCUAUAAGACUGGGAUAACUUCGGGAAACCGGAGCUAAUACCGGAUAAUAUUUUGAACCGCAUGGUUCAAAAGUGAAAGACGGUUUUGCUGUCACUUAUAGAUGGAUCCGCGCUGCAUUAGCUAGUUGGUAAGGUAACGGCUUACCAAGGCAACGAUGCAUAGCCGACCUGAGAGGGUGAUCGGCCACACUGGAACUGAGACACGGUCCAGACUCCUACGGGAGGCAGCAGUAGGGAAUCUUCCGCAAUGGGCGAAAGCCUGACGGAGCAACGCCGCGUGAGUGAUGAAGGUCUUCGGAUCGUAAGACUCUGUUAUUAGGGAAGAACAUAUGUGUAAGUAACUGUGCACAUCUUGACGGUACCUAAUCAGAAAGCCACGGCUAACUACGUG